RNAcentral lists this ribosomal RNA (460 nucleotides) under uncultured bacterium. RNAcentral describes it as "partial 16S ribosomal RNA". It matches the Rfam family "Bacterial small subunit ribosomal RNA", at positions 338 to 795 of the family's 1533-position model. The record is from RNAcentral.
CCUACGGGUGGCAGCAGUGAGGAAUAUUGGUCAAUGGGCGUAAGCCUGAACCAGCCAAGUCGCGUGAGGGAUGAAGGUUCUAUGGAUCGUAAACCUCUUUUAUAAGGGAAUAAAGUGUGGGACGUGUCCUAUUUUGUAUGUACCUUAUGAAUAAGGAUCGGCUAACUCCGUGCCAGCAGCCGCGGUAAUACGGAGGAUCCGAGCGUUAUCCGGAUUUAUUGGGUUUAAGGGGUGCGUAGGCGGCCUUUUAAGUCAGCGGUGAAAGUCUGUGGCUCAACCAUAGAAUUGCCGUUGAAACUGGGGGGCUAGAGGAUGUUUGAGGCGGGCAGAAUGCGAGGUGUAGCGGUGAAAUGCUUAGAUAUCACGCAGAACCCCGAUUGCGAAGGCAGCCUGCCAGGCCAUGACUGACGCUGAGGCGCGAAAGCGUGGGGAUCAAACAGGAUUAGAUACCCGUGUAGUC